Molecule: long non-coding RNA, 570 nt
Organism: Solea senegalensis (Senegalese sole)
Lineage: Eukaryota; Metazoa; Chordata; Actinopteri; Pleuronectiformes; Soleidae
Exons: 2
Source: RefSeq, a predicted model, not a curated record
AUGAACUCGCGUUCACGUUUGGCAGCUCCACGUCGACAUUCUUCCAGCUGCAUAUAGUGAACUGCACAGGACUGAGGGAAGAAAAGGUAGCCACCUUACGAUCAGAGCGCUGCAAGUCCGCAGACGGACACGAACCGCGGUGAAAAUAGGCGUUUGCACCCUGAAGCCACCCGUGGAUGAGCAGUGUCCACGGAUCGCUGUCUGCUUUUGCACUGUAUGAUUCUUCAGACGCAUUUGCCCCUCGUGUUGGAUUGCAGCUGCUCCCUUUGCGGCUAUACCUACACCAGGCUACUGCAGGUUAAAGGAGCACCCGGUCGUUGGGAGGAUAAGUCUCAGCACAAGGACAAACCUAUGAGGUGGCACUGUGGCUUUCCAAAUAAAGUUCUGUGAUACACUUAGACUCUCACUGCCUGCAGUCAGUGCAUUACAGAACUUUGUUUUGGGAGUUAAUGCUUUAACCUGUGGGAAAUAGAUCCUCACCCAUCUGGACAUUUUACACUUUACAGUAUGAUGUGAUAUUUCUGUUGGAAAAUGACUUGUUUUCUUAAAUAAAAAUUCUCAGACCUUUGA